RNAcentral lists this small RNA (244 nucleotides) under Arabidopsis thaliana (thale cress). RNAcentral describes it as "ATSL160070". Lineage: Eukaryota; Viridiplantae; Streptophyta; Magnoliopsida; Brassicales; Brassicaceae. The record is from RNAcentral.
UUUUGAAAACAAAACCAAUCUUGUAUUUCAAGUCAGAAAUACGAUACUGGCCACUUGUAGGAUUAAGAGUGAUGGUCGUAAUGAUCUUCCAAACACCCUCGGUUAAUCAGCUUUCAAACUUCUUGAUCUGCUCUCUUCUCACAGCAGCAUACAUCUUAUCACCCUAUAUGACAAAAAUAAUAUAAAUAAUAAUUAAUAAGGGAAAAUUAUGUUUGAACCUACUAUAAGGCUGGACAAAUUAUAA